This 426-nucleotide ribosomal RNA is filed under the name uncultured prokaryote. Its description in RNAcentral is "bacterial SSU rRNA". It matches the Rfam family "Bacterial small subunit ribosomal RNA", at positions 355 to 774 of the family's 1533-position model. The record is from RNAcentral.
UUUCGAAUCAUUCACAAUGGGCGAAAGCCUGAUGGUGCGACGCCGCGUGAGGGAUGAAGGUCUUCGGAUUGUAAACCUCUGUCACUGGGGAAGAAACGCUUCAUGUUAAUAGCAUGAAGCCUGACUUAACCCAGAGAGGAAGCAGUGGCUAACUCUGUGCCAGCAGCCGCGGUAAUACAGAGACUGCAAGCGUUAUUCGGAUUCACUGGGCGUAAAGGGUGCGCAGGCGGCCGUGUGUGUUAGGUGUGAAAGCCCGGGGCUUAACCCCGGAAUUGCGCCUAAAACUACAUGGCUAGAGCAUUGGAGAGGGUAGCGGAAUUCACGGUGUAGCAGUGAAAUGCGUAGAUAUCGUGAGGAACACCAGAGGCGAAGGCGGCUACCUGGACAAUUGCUGACGCUCAGGCACGAAAGCGUGGGGAGCAAAAG